AUAAAGGCCUGUCAAUGACAACUCCAUUAAUUUAACACGGGCCAUGCUGCUGCUGCGGCGGGCGCCUUUCACCGGCCCGUCAGUUAAAACCGUAUCAUUAGCAAUAUGAGAACUGACUGUGAAUAAGUCUUUCACUUUAGACCGCUGCUCAAUUGAGACUAUUGUAGCCAAAAAUGGCUAUAGAUCAUUUAUCUGUUGUCAGGGUUGUAUUGGAGAUAAUGAGAGAUAAUGGUAGACUGCUUGAUAAGUGAAUUAUUCGACCUCCGUAUUUACAUUUCCUAUAUGUAGGACGUUUAGAGGUCGAAACUACAGGAGAGAUGAUGGGACUACGCGGAGUUGAGUGAUAGGAACAGAAUGAUGACUGAAAAACGUAUGUUUAUCAAUCACGACUUUUUAAAAUUAUGUUUUAAAAAAAAAAAAUCUUCCAGUAUUAAAACAGCAGAUUCUGUAUUUGUUAAUUAAGAUAGUCCAAAGUUGUUACAGAAACGUUGCAAAAUUAUUAGCAUCCAUUUGCUCUUGGAUACCAACGGUUCAGUGUGUAAAAGCGCAUUUCUCUUCUCGUCAUCCUGAACGUUAUAAUAUCAGACUCAAUAGGUCGUCAGGAUCUGGCCUGUGUGCUCACAGACAGACAGGGACAGCACGUUGUAUUACCUGUCCUGGAAGCAGCCUAAACAUGUUGUAUUACCUGUCCUGGAAGCAGCCUCAACAUGUUGUAUUACCUGUCCUGGAAGCAGCCUAAACAUGUUGUAUUACCUGUCCUGGAAGCAGCCUCAACAUGUUGUAUUACCUGUCCUGGAAGCAGCCUAAACAUGUUGUAUUACCUGUCCUGGAAGCAGCCUCAACAUGUUGUACUACACUGCUUCACUGGGUUUAAUCCUAUAAACAUUUGUCAUAAAAAAAAAAAAACUCAGUCUACAAUAUUAAACAUUUAUCUCUGCCAAAAUGUGACCAUCAAGCAGAGAAUAGUGUCCCCUCUAAAGGAACUGAACCAGAACCAUUCAUAUUACACUAGGAGGCUGUAGGAGCAGGUCCAGCUGCCAGAACCAUUCAUAUUGAACUAGGAGGCUGUAGGAGCAGGUCCAGUUACCAGAACCAUUCAUAUUGCACUAGGAGGCUGUAGGAGCAGGUCCAGUUACCAGAACCACUCAUAUUGCACUAGGAGGCUGUAGGAGCAGGUCCAGUUACCAGAACCAUUCAUAUUGCACUAGGAGGCUGUAGGAGCAGGUCCAGUUACCAGAACCAUUCAUAUUGAACUAGGAGGCUGUAGAAGCAGGUCCAGUGAAUUUAGUUUGGGUCUGCAUGAGAUCACUAGACUGAGGAGUCACUCUCACGUUAGAAGAAUUAAGUCUAUUCAGAAAAAUAGAGCAAAAUAG
RNAcentral lists this long non-coding RNA (1373 nucleotides) under Salmo salar (Atlantic salmon). RNAcentral describes it as "lncRNA (ENSSSAG00000095658.1, ENSSSAG00000113232.1)". The record is from RNAcentral. Lineage: Eukaryota; Metazoa; Chordata; Actinopteri; Salmoniformes; Salmonidae.